Molecule: ribosomal RNA, 497 nt
Filed under: uncultured bacterium
Lineage: Bacteria
Description: partial 16S ribosomal RNA
Rfam family: Bacterial small subunit ribosomal RNA
Source: RNAcentral
GAUGAACGCUGGCGGCGUGCCUAAUACAUGCAAGUCGAGCGAACAGAUGAGGAGCUUGCUCCUCUGACGUUAGCGGCGGACGGGUGAGUAACACGUUGAUAACCUACCUAUAAGACUGGGAUAACUUCGGGAAACCGGAGCUAAUACCGGAUCAUAUAUUGAACCGCAUGGUUCAAUAGUGUAAGACGGUUUUGCUGUCACUUAUAGAUGGAUCCGCGCCGCAUUAGCUAGUUGGUAAGGUAACGGCUUACCAAGGCAACGAUGCGUAGCCGACCUGAGAGGGUGAUCGGCCACACUGGAACUGAGACACGGUCCAGACUACUACGGGAGGCAGCAGUAGGGAAGCUUCCGCAAUGGGCGGAAGCCUGACGGAGCAACGCCGCGUGAGUGAUGAAGGUCUUCGGAUCGUAAAACUCUGUUAUUAGGGAAGAACAAAUGUGUAAGUAACUAUGCACGUCUUGACGGUACCUAAUCAGAAAGCCACGGCUAACUACGUG